GCUCAGUAACUCUUAUUUUAUUUGAUGUAUUAGGAUUAUAACUAUGUUAAAUUAUAGAUAACAAUAAUACAAUAAGAAUAAGAUCUAUCAGUUAGUUGUUAAGGUAAUGGCUUAACAAGACUAUGACGGAUAACGGUAUUACUUUGUAAUAUUCCGGAGAAGGAGCCUGAGAGAUUGCUACUAAGUCUAAGGAUUGCAGCAGGGGCGAAACUUGACCUAUGAUAUGAUAUUGAGGCAGUUAUGAGUAGUAUUUUUAAUUAUUG
Molecule: ribosomal RNA, 263 nt
Filed under: Nosema granulosis
Lineage: Eukaryota; Fungi; Microsporidia; Nosematidae
Description: partial small subunit ribosomal RNA
Rfam family: Microsporidia small subunit ribosomal RNA
Source: RNAcentral